Molecule: unclassified non-coding RNA, 335 nt
Filed under: soil metagenome
Description: partial contains 5.8S ribosomal RNA, internal transcribed spacer 2, and large subunit ribosomal RNA
Rfam family: 5.8S ribosomal RNA (bases 1-120)
Source: RNAcentral
GAUGAAGAACGCAGCGAAAUGCGAUAAGUAAUGUGAAUUGCAGAAUUCAGUGAAUCAUCGAAUCUUUGAACGCACAUUGCGCCCGCCAGUAUUCUGGCGGGCAUGCCUGUUCGAGCGUCAUUUCAACCAUCAAGCCCCCGGCUUGUGUUGGGGACCUGCGGCUGCCGCAGGCCCUGAAAACCAGUGGCGGGCUCGCUAGUCACUCCGAGCGUAGUAAUACAUCUCGCUUUGGGCGUGCGGCGGGUUCUUGCCGUUAAACACCCCCUUUUUACCAAGGUUGACCUCGGAUCAGGUAGGAAUACCCGCUGAACUUAAGCAUAUCAAUAAGCGGAGGA